GAUGAAGAACGCAGCGAAAUGCGAUAAGUAAUGUGAAUUGCAGAAUUCAGUGAAUCAUCGAAUCUUUGAACGCAUAUUGCGCUCUCUGGUAUUCCGGAGAGCAUGCUUGUUUGAGUAUCAGUAAACACCUCAACUUCCAUAUCUUUUUUGAAAUGGGAGUUGGACUUGAGUGAUCCCAACGCUUUUCCUCACCGAAAAGUGGCGGGUUACUUGAAAUGCAGGUGCAGCUGGACUUUUCUCUGAGCUAUAAGCAUAUCUAUUUAGUCUGCAAAAAAAACAGAUUAUUACCUUUGCUGCAGCUAACAUAAAGGAGAUUAGUUCUUGUGCUGACUGAUGCAGGAUUCACAAAGACAGGCUUCGGCCGACUUUGUAAACUCGAUCUCAAAUCAAGUAAGACUACCCGCUGAACUUAAGCAUAUCAAUAAGCGGAGGA
RNAcentral lists this unclassified non-coding RNA (433 nucleotides) under soil metagenome. RNAcentral's name for it is "partial contains 5.8S ribosomal RNA, internal transcribed spacer 2, and large subunit ribosomal RNA". The stretch from base 1 to 120 matches the Rfam family "5.8S ribosomal RNA", at positions 35 to 154 of the family's 154-position model. The record is from RNAcentral.